This 460-nucleotide ribosomal RNA is filed under the name Atergatopsis aff. amoyensis JCYL-2010. RNAcentral describes it as "partial 16S ribosomal RNA". The stretch from base 323 to 460 matches the Rfam family "Bacterial large subunit ribosomal RNA", at positions 2473 to 2611 of the family's 2925-position model. The record is from RNAcentral. Lineage: Eukaryota; Metazoa; Arthropoda; Malacostraca; Decapoda; Xanthidae.
CAAAGGUAGCAUAAUCAUUAGAGGUUUAAUUGGAAUCUGGUAUGAAGGGUUGGACAAAGGAAAAACUGUCUUUAUAGUAUGGCUUGAAAUUUACUUUUGGGUGAAAAGGCCUAAAUAUUUUAAAGGGACGAUAAGACCCUAUAAAUCUUUAUAAAUAAUUUAAAUUUGAUUAAUUCAAGAUUUAAAGGUUAAAUUUAAUUAUUUUAUUUCGUUGGGGUGAUGUGAGUAUAAUUAUUAUUAACUGCUUAAGUGUAUAUUCUGUUGUAUAAGAGUUAUUGGUAUAUGAUCCUUUUUAAAGAUUAAAAGACUAAGUUACUUUAGGGAUAACAGCGUUAUUUCUUUUAAGAGUUCAUAUCGAAAAAGAAGAUUGCGACCUCGAUGUUGAAUUAAAAUAUCUAUAUAAUGCAGUCGUUAUAAAAGAGGGUCUGUUCGACCUUUAAAUUUUUACAUGAUUUGAGUU